CCUACUCCCCUUGUAAUGUGUCUGGUGCAGCCAGCAUGUUCCGAUCUAUUUUGUCUAUUCAAAUUUUUUUCUAGCUUCCCAUUGUAAAAGGUAGAGCUAGAUAUAUUAGUCCUUGUUUGAUUUAGAUUAAAAAUUGCUCAAAAUUUUAAGUCAAGGUGACCAAUUAAUUUUAAGUUUAGUAGUCGUUGGAACAAUUAAUUCCCCCUAAAGCAAAAGCCUCGAUUAUCAAAGGGUACGCAGAACGGCGGGGCAGAUGGAGCAGAACGGCGGCGGAAGGAAGAAGAGGGAGAAGCCAAAUAUACUGAUAACAGGAACACCAGGAACCGGUAAGACCACGAUGGCGUCUGCUCUGGCGGAGGCUACUCAAUUUUGCCAUAUAAAUAUCGGAGAUUUGGUCAAGGAAAAGAACCUCCACGACGGCUGGGAUGACCAGUUCGAUUGUUAUUUGAUCAAUGAAGACCUGGUGUGUGAUGAGCUUGAGGAUUUGAUGGAAGGUGGUGGUAACAUUGUGGAUUACCAUGGAGGCGACUUCUUUCGUCAGCGUUGGUUCGAUCGCGUAGUAGUGCUCCAAACUGAAAAUUCCGUGUUGUAUGACAGAUUGACAAAGAGGGGUUAUACUGGGCAGAAACUUACUAACAAUAUAGAAUGUGAAAUCUUUCAAGUGUUGCUGGAGGAGGCCAAGGAGAGUUAUCCUGAAGAAAUUGUGGUGGCAUUAAGAAGCGACUGUAUCGAUGACAUGAACAGUAACGUGGCCACUUUGACUGAUUGGAUUAGAAGUUGGAGCUGCCAAUCUUGAUCACGACUUUACUGAAAAUGUCAAAUUUGAAGGUCAUAAUGUGGGAAGUUCUUGCUUGUGAUGGUGUCUUGCAUAGAAUGUUGGUGAAAGUGACUAAUAGUUGGAAUGGCGAGUUCCGGGCUGCCUGUGUUGUCAUUGCUUCUCCUUGCAUAGCUAAUAUAUUUCCUUCCCAGACGUGGACGUUGGCGUGAUCCAUCAAGCUUGACGUACUUUCCAUUUCUUCCAAUCAUUAUGGGAAUGGUUGAACAGAUCAAACCAAUUCCCUACUGGAAAAUAUGCAUCAAAAGAAACUGCUCUAGACUGUGGUACAGAUGAAAUCAUUAUCCCCUUAUCACGUAGAAACUGUGAGCUGAUUUUGUAAGUGUUGGUAUGGGCAAUUGGGAUGUGUACAAGUAUGGUAACGAAGUCCAAGCACUUUCCUGGCUGAUGCAGAGAGCGAAUCCCAGAUAUAUAGCUCUUGACCGACGGAUGGUGAAUUUCUCAGAGUGGCCUCUGGCAAAGGGAUAAAAGUUGUCUAUUGAAAACCACAUAUAUCCAGCUCUAACCAUCGGAAUUCCAAAUAUUCCAAUGUCGAAGAUGCUGGGUAUUGUGUGUGCCAAAUUUUCCAGUGUGGCUGCCGUGUCUCCAGUCCCGUGUGCUUUGUACUUUCCAGAAACCACGAAAAUAGAUCUACUCAGCACAAAUGGCCUUUUACCAAUGACAUUAGUUAAAGCUGCAUUAGUAACUCAUGUCUCAUUUAUGCUGGUCCCAGGAUUUUUGAUGAUCCCUAUUUAUGAUCAUUCUGAUAAAGUGAAUCAACGAAACUUUCAUCUUAUCCGGAGGAAAAUUCAGUAAAAUCCUUGUAGCCAUUCCAUAUAAUCAAUAUCCGUACACAUUUCUGGAGGGAUUUGAAUUUUAAGCUUUCUUAUAAACAGCAGCCACAUUCUCAAGAUCGCUAAAGACCAGUAAGGCAUGCAGCAGGGAGUCCAAUGAGUUCACUGUACUGUUCCAUAACCAUUUACGGCGGUGGGCAAUAUCUCUAAAGAAACUCCCCAGAUUCUUAUUCUACAGCAGUUGCUAAAGAAAAGAGAGGAGAAGGCUGGAGAAGUCCUAGAGAAUUCUGGUCUGGCAAUAUGAAGUCUUUCGAAUACAUGAAAUGUUGAAGUAUGAAACUCUGUAAAUUGCAAAGAUAAACAAUUCCUUAUCCUCAUCAUAGAUUUUAAAUGAAGAGAAGGCCCUUGAUUGCACAUAACAGUCGGAAAAAGACUUAUGCUCAGUCACAAUGUAAGGUGUUACAAGAGAAGCUUUCAACUCUAGUAAGAAAAGCACUCACUUUAGUUGCCCCGUGCAUAUGUAAGCUAAUCUUGGUUCGACUUUACCUUCAUCACUUGGUAUUUCGAAUCCAGCAAUGCAGAAUUUAUAAAAGCUGUCCAGAUUCAAAAGGUUAGCCCUGAAGAUUUCAAGUUUCUUGGAGUUUCGACAAGAAGGUUCAAGGAGAGUAUUGCUGCCUAGUUCGAUUUUUACCUUCCUUCCCUAGGUAUUUUCGAAUUCAGCAAGCAGAUUUUGGGUUUCUUCAUCCAGAUUUCUAUGUUCUUUGCUAAGUUCGAAUCCAGCAAUUCAUCUUGAGGUUCGGCCAACAGCUUAUAUAUUUUAAUCAUCUAGCUUUCGUGGAUGUUUGGAAAUUUAUGUUCUUGAAGAUUCAAGUUUUUGUCUUGCUGUUUGUUACUUGUUUGGGCAAUUAAUUCAAAUUUUCUUUCCCCCUUCAAAUUUGAAUUAUUCAAACUGGCCCUUCAGUAUCACAGCAUUGUUCCCUGCCUUUUGCAGUCA
Molecule: RNA transcript, 2602 nt
Organism: Olea europaea var. sylvestris
Lineage: Eukaryota; Viridiplantae; Streptophyta; Magnoliopsida; Lamiales; Oleaceae
Gene name: adenylate kinase isoenzyme 6 homolog
Exons: 4
Source: RefSeq, a predicted model, not a curated record